This 17-nucleotide small RNA is filed under the name Arabidopsis thaliana (thale cress). Its description in RNAcentral is "ATSL124390". Lineage: Eukaryota; Viridiplantae; Streptophyta; Magnoliopsida; Brassicales; Brassicaceae. The record is from RNAcentral.
UUUUUUUUUCCUUUUUC